This 459-nucleotide ribosomal RNA is filed under the name uncultured eukaryote. RNAcentral describes it as "eukaryotic LSU rRNA". It matches the Rfam family "Eukaryotic large subunit ribosomal RNA", at positions 725 to 1181 of the family's 3401-position model. The record is from RNAcentral.
GCGAAUGGCGGGACGCUCUCCCGCAGGGGGGCGGCGCCGCCGGCCGGACGUCCUCGAGGCGGACCGAGCCGGAGCGCUCGCGUCGGGACCCGAAAGGUGGUGAUCUAUCCGUGCGCGCGGCGAAGCCGGGGGAAACCCCGGUGGAGGCCCGUCGACGGUACUGACGUGCAAAAUCGUUCGUCCGACGUGCGAAUAGGGGCGAAAGACCAAUCGAACCUCCUAGUAGCUGGUUUCCGCCGAAAUUUCCCUCAGGAUAGCGGCCAUCGCGGAAACGUUUUGACCGGUAGAGCGAACGACUAGAGGUACCGGGGCCGUAACGGCCUCGACCUAUUCUCGAACUCCGAACGGGCAAGGAGCCGGGGUCGCCCGAUCGGACCCCGGACGUGAAGUCGACGAUGGUCGGUGGGCUGGUUUUUGGUAAGCAGAACGGGCGAUUCGGGAUGAACCGGAAGCGGGGAG